GGCGCGGUGGCCGAGGAGUUAGGCAACGGUCUGCAAAACCGUUUACACGAGUGCGAAUCUCGUCCGUGCCUCCA
This 74-nucleotide transfer RNA is filed under the name Candidatus Saccharimonadota bacterium. RNAcentral's name for it is "tRNA-Cys". It matches the Rfam family "tRNA". From Rfam's summary of the family: Transfer RNA (tRNA) molecules are approximately 80 nucleotides in length. Their secondary structure includes four short double-helical elements and three loops (D, anti-codon, and T loops). Further hydrogen bonds mediate the characteristic L-shaped molecular structure. tRNAs have two regions of fundamental functional importance: the anti-codon, which is responsible for specific mRNA codon recognition, and the 3' end, to which the tRNAs corresponding amino acid is attached (by aminoacyl-tRNA synthetases). tRNAs cope with the degeneracy of the genetic code in two manners: having more than one tRNA (with a specific anti-codon) for a particular amino acid; and 'wobble' base-pairing, i.e. permitting non-standard base-pairing at the 3rd anti-codon position. Lineage: Bacteria; Candidatus Saccharimonadota. The record is from RNAcentral.